CGUAUGAAGACGUUUCACCUCGGUGACAGGGAGACAGGUGGUGCAUGGUUGUCGUCAGCUCGUGUCGUGAGAUGUUGGGUUAAGUCCCGCAACGAGCGCAACCCUUAUUGCUAGUUACCAUCAUUGAGUUGGGGACUCUAGCGAGACUGCCAGCGAUAAGCUGGAGGAAGUGGGAUGACGUCAAAUCAUCAUGCCCCUUAUGACCUGGGCUACAAACGUGAUACAAUGGCUGGAACAAAGGGAGGCGAAGGGGUGACCUGGAGCGAAACCCAAAAAUACAGUCUCAGUUCGGAUUGAAGUCUGCAACUCGACUUCAUGAAGUCGGAAUCGCUAGUAAUCGCGGAUCAGAACGCCGCGGUGAAUACGUUCUCGGGUUU
This 377-nucleotide ribosomal RNA is filed under the name uncultured Acholeplasma sp. RNAcentral's name for it is "bacterial SSU rRNA". It matches the Rfam family "Bacterial small subunit ribosomal RNA", at positions 1002 to 1381 of the family's 1533-position model. The record is from RNAcentral. Lineage: Bacteria; Bacillati; Mycoplasmatota; Mollicutes; Acholeplasmatales; Acholeplasmataceae.